UAGGUGAACCUGCGGAAGGAUCAUUAAAUAAUUUAGAUGGCCUUUGCUAGUUUUCUAGCGAAUGGUUCAUUCUUUUUUACUGUGAACUGUUUUAAUUUUUCAGCGUCUGAGGAAUGUCUUUUAGCCAUAGGGAUAGGCUACUAGAAUGUUAACCGAGCUGAAAGUCAGGCUUAGGCCUGGUAUCCUAUUAAUUAUUUACCAAAAGAAUUCAGUAUUAUAAUUGUAACAUAAGCGUAAAAAACUUAUAAAACAACUUUUAACAACGGAUCUCUUGGUUCUCGCAUCGAUGAAGAACGUAGCAAAGUGCGAUAACUAGUGUGAAUUGCAUAUUCAGUGAAUCAUCGAGUCUUUGAACGCAACUUGCGCUCAAUGGUAUUCCAUUGAGCACGCCUGUUUCAGUAUCAAAAACACCCCACAUUCAUAAUUUUGUUGUGAAUGGAAAUGAGAGUUUCGGCUUUAUUGCUGAAUUCUUUAAAAUUAUUAGGCCUGAACUAUUGUUCUUUCUGCCUGAACAUUUUUUUAAUAUAAAGGAAUGCUCUAGUAAAAAGACUAUCUCUGGGGCCUCCCAAAUAAAUCAUUCUUAAAUUUGAUCUGAAAUCAGGCGGGAUUACCCGCUGAACUUAAGCAUAUCAAUAAGCGG
This 640-nucleotide ribosomal RNA is filed under the name Spergula arvensis. RNAcentral's name for it is "eukaryotic LSU rRNA". The stretch from base 252 to 404 matches the Rfam family "5.8S ribosomal RNA". The record is from RNAcentral. Lineage: Eukaryota; Viridiplantae; Streptophyta; Magnoliopsida; Caryophyllales; Caryophyllaceae.